RNAcentral lists this ribosomal RNA (429 nucleotides) under Desmodesmus sp. UQL1_22. Its description in RNAcentral is "SSU rRNA". It matches the Rfam family "Eukaryotic small subunit ribosomal RNA", at positions 625 to 1061 of the family's 1831-position model. The record is from RNAcentral. Lineage: Eukaryota; Viridiplantae; Chlorophyta; Chlorophyceae; Sphaeropleales; Scenedesmaceae.
AGCUCGUAGUUGGAUUUCGGGUGGGUUUUAGCGGUCCGCCUAUGGUGAGUACUGCUAUGGCCUUCCUUACUGUCGGGGACCUGCUUCUGGGCUUCAUUGUCCGGGACAGGGAUUCGGCAUGGUUACUUUGAGUAAAUUAGAGUGUUCAAAGCAGGCUUACGCCGUGAAUACUUUAGCAUGGAAUAACAUGAUAGGACUCUGCCCUAUUCUGUUGGCCUGUAGGUGUGGAGUAAUGAUUAAGAGGAACAGUCGGGGGCAUUCGUAUUUCAUUGUCAGAGGUGAAAUUCUUGGAUUUAUGAAAGACGAACUACUGCGAAAGCAUUUGCCAAGGAUGUUUUCAUUAAUCAAGAACGAAAGUUGGGGGCUCGAAGACGAUUAGAUACCGUCGUAGUCUCAACCAUAAACGAUGCCGACUAGGGAUUGGCGGAC